RNAcentral lists this ribosomal RNA (547 nucleotides) under Naganishia diffluens. RNAcentral describes it as "partial large subunit ribosomal RNA". It matches the Rfam family "Eukaryotic large subunit ribosomal RNA", at positions 57 to 608 of the family's 3401-position model. The record is from RNAcentral. Lineage: Eukaryota; Fungi; Basidiomycota; Tremellomycetes; Filobasidiales; Filobasidiaceae.
AAAAGAAACUAACAAGGAUUCCCCUAGUAACGGCGAGUGAAGCGGGAAGAGCUCAAAUUUGAAAUCUAGUAGCCUUCGGCUGCUCGAGUUGUAAUCUAGAGAAGUGUUUUCCGUGCCGGCCCAUGUACAAGUCCCUUGGAACAGGGCGUCAUAGAGGGUGAGAAUCCCGUCCUUGACAUGGACCCCCGGUGCUCUGUGAUACACUUUCAACGAGUCGAGUUGUUUGGGAAUGCAGCUCAAAAUGGGUGGUGAAUUCCAUCUAAAGCUAAAUAUUGGCGAGAGACCGAUAGCGAACAAGUACCGUGAGGGAAAGAUGAAAAGCACUUUGGAAAGAGAGUUAAACAGUACGUGAAAUUGUUGAAAGGGAAACGAUUGAAGUCAGUCAUGCUCUUUGGUAUUUAUAUCAUUGAGUGGGGUCAACAUCAGUUUUGAGCGAUGGAUAAAGGCACUAGGAAGGUAGCACUCUCGGGUGAACUUAUAGCCUAGCGUCAUAUACAUUGUUUGGGACUGAGGAACGCAGCAUGCCUUUAUGGCCGGGAUUCGUCCA